This 272-nucleotide long non-coding RNA is filed under the name Brassica napus (rape). Its description in RNAcentral is "long non-coding RNA (BNAP_LNC010338)". The record is from RNAcentral. Lineage: Eukaryota; Viridiplantae; Streptophyta; Magnoliopsida; Brassicales; Brassicaceae.
AAAAAAAAAAAUGCAAUUCUUUCAAAUAGACAUUUUUAAGUUUUAGUCACAAAAAUAAACCUCAAAAACUUAAAUAACCAAAAUAGCAUUUUUUUUUUUGAAAAUUUUAAUUUUUUUUUUAAUUUUUAAAAUUUGAAAUCCUAUCCCCAAAACCCCACUCCUCAACUCUAAACCUUAAACCCUAAAUUCUAAACCUUAAACCUUAAAUUCUAAACCCUAAACCCUAAAUCCUAAACCUUAAACCCUAAACCCCAUCCCUUAACUCUAAACCC